Molecule: ribosomal RNA, 405 nt
Filed under: uncultured bacterium
Lineage: Bacteria
Description: partial 16S ribosomal RNA
Rfam family: Bacterial small subunit ribosomal RNA
Source: RNAcentral
GAUGAACGCUGGCGGCGUGCCUAAUACAUGCAAGUCGAGCGAAGCGGGGACGGGUGAGUAACACGUGGAUAACCUCCUAUAAGACUGGGAUAACUUCGGGAAACCGGAGCUAACCCGGAUAAUUAUAGAUGGAUCCGCGCCGCAUUAGCUAGUUGGUAAGGUAACGGCUUACAAAGGAAACGAGGCGUAGCCGACCGGAGAGGGUGUGCUGCCACACUGGAACUGAGACACGGUCCAGACGCCUACGUGAGGCAGCAGUAGGGACUCUUCCGCAAUGGGCGAAAGCCUGACGGAGCAACGCCGCGUGAGUGAUGAAGGGUUUCGGAUCGUAAAACUCUGGUAUUAGUGAAGCGGUACCUAAUCAGAAAGCCACGGCUAACUACGUGCCAGCAGCCGCGGUAAUAC